This 58-nucleotide transfer RNA is filed under the name Urocitellus parryii (Arctic ground squirrel). Its description in RNAcentral is "Spermophilus parryii (Arctic ground squirrel) tRNA". It matches the Rfam family "tRNA", at positions 8 to 63 of the family's 71-position model. Rfam says of the family: Transfer RNA (tRNA) molecules are approximately 80 nucleotides in length. RNAcentral also lists the same sequence under 2 other names. The record is from Rfam by way of RNAcentral. Lineage: Eukaryota; Metazoa; Chordata; Mammalia; Rodentia; Sciuridae.
UAGCUCAGUUGGUAGAGUGUUUGUCUUGUAUGCACAAGGCCCUGGGUUCAAUCCCCAG